UGGGGAAUAUUGGACAAUGGGCGAAAGCCUGAUCCAGCAAUGCCGCGUGAGUGAUGAAGGCCUUAGGGUUGUAAAGCUCUUUUACCCGGGAUGAUAAUAACAGUACCGGGAGAAUAAGCUCCGGCUAACUCCGUGCCAGCAGCCGCGGUAAUACGGAGGGAGCUAGCGUUGUUCGGAAUUACUGGGCGUAAAGCGCGCGUAGGCGGUUACUCAAGUCAGAGGUGAAAGCCCGGGGCUCAACCCCGGAACUGCCUUUGAAACUAGGUGACUAGAAUCUUGGAGAGGUCAGUGGAAUUCCGAGUGUAGAGGUGAAAUUCGUAGAUAUUCGGAAGAACACCAGUGGCGAAGGCGACUGACUGGACAAGUAUUGACGCUGAGGUGCGAAAGCGUGGGGAGCAAACA
Molecule: ribosomal RNA, 402 nt
Filed under: uncultured Novosphingobium sp.
Lineage: Bacteria; Pseudomonadati; Pseudomonadota; Alphaproteobacteria; Sphingomonadales; Sphingomonadaceae
Description: bacterial SSU rRNA
Rfam family: Bacterial small subunit ribosomal RNA
Source: RNAcentral